Molecule: long non-coding RNA, 377 nt
Organism: Prionailurus viverrinus (fishing cat)
Lineage: Eukaryota; Metazoa; Chordata; Mammalia; Carnivora; Felidae
Exons: 3
Source: RefSeq, a predicted model, not a curated record
CUCCAGGCUCUGAACCAUCAGCCCAGAGCCCGACGCGGGGCUCGAACUCACGGACCGCGAGAUCGUGACCUGGCUGAAGUCGGACGCUCCAGUACUUCUGAAUGUGACCGCGUUUGGAGACAGGGCCUUCAAAGAGAGCUGAGAUUCUGCCAAGCCAGAGGUGCACUGUGCCCGACCCUCUCACUGCCAUCAACAGCCAAGCGGAGCUCUGCCCAGCCAUCCUAGAGAGUAUGACAUAGUAUCUCAUUGUGGCUUCAAUUUGCAUUUCCCGGAUGACUACUGCACGUGCAUAUUGGCCAUUUGUAUACGGCUAUUGGUAAAUUCGACAAGAUUCACGGGAGUGAUGGCUGUUGAGGCCAGCUGAGUUACAGAGAGAA